CUUUUCAGUAUUCAAAUAAUUGUUUUGUACACUACUUUGUAAUGUUUUUCACUGAAAGCGUAGCACUGAGGUGAAUUUUCCGGAAUUUGCCGAGUAUCACCGGAAUGCCAUGUGAUAACGUUACGGAAAGGCAUGUGAUAACAAUCGAAGCAUGUGAUAAACUUUUCAUAUCAGCCCGCUAAGCACCAAUUCGAAAAAUAUGGAAAAUACUUUAAUUUAAUGCUAUUAUCAUACGGUAAAAAUCAUAUGUUAUUUAGUCUAAGUAUAUGAUAAAGCUUUAUAUUC
Molecule: long non-coding RNA, 285 nt
Filed under: Mytilus galloprovincialis (Mediterranean mussel)
Lineage: Eukaryota; Metazoa; Mollusca; Bivalvia; Mytilida; Mytilidae
Source: RNAcentral